This 546-nucleotide ribosomal RNA is filed under the name Arthrobacter sp. RNAcentral describes it as "bacterial SSU rRNA". It matches the Rfam family "Bacterial small subunit ribosomal RNA", at positions 880 to 1426 of the family's 1533-position model. The record is from RNAcentral. Lineage: Bacteria; Bacillati; Actinomycetota; Actinomycetes; Micrococcales; Micrococcaceae.
GUACGGCCGCAAGGCUAAAACUCAAAGGAAUUGACGGGGGCCCGCACAAGCGGCGGAGCAUGCGGAUUAAUUCGAUGCAACGCGAAGAACCUUACCAAGGCUUGACAUGAACCGGAAAGACCUGGAAACAGGUGCCCCGCUUGCGGUCGGUUUACAGGUGGUGCAUGGUUGUCGUCAGCUCGUGUCGUGAGAUGUUGGGUUAAGUCCCGCAACGAGCGCAACCCUCGUUCUAUGUUGCCAGCGGUUCGGCCGGGGACUCAUAGGAGACUGCCGGGGUCAACUCGGAGGAAGGUGGGGACGACGUCAAAUCAUCAUGCCCCUUAUGUCUUGGGCUUCACGCAUGCUACAAUGGCCGGUACAAAGGGUUGCGAUACUGUGAGGUGGAGCUAAUCCCAAAAAGCCGGUCUCAGUUCGGAUUGGGGUCUGCAACUCGACCCCAUGAAGUCGGAGUCGCUAGUAAUCGCAGAUCAGCAACGCUGCGGUGAAUACGUUCCCGGGCCUUGUACACACCGCCCGUCAAGUCACGAAAGUUGGUAACACCCGAAG